RNAcentral lists this long non-coding RNA (824 nucleotides) under Ailuropoda melanoleuca (giant panda). RNAcentral's name for it is "lncRNA (ENSAMEG00000027923.1)". Lineage: Eukaryota; Metazoa; Chordata; Mammalia; Carnivora; Ursidae. The record is from RNAcentral.
GCCAGGAAGGGGGUCGGGCGGGAGGGGAGGAGACCGCGGAGCAGCCAAUCGGCGCUCAGCCCAUCAGCUGACCGCUUUUGCUUACACCAGGUGCACGCCGGCUGCGGGGAGCACAAAGCGGGGCGCACCGAGGGCGCCGGCACCUAGCCGGGGAGCUAGGCGAGGCCCGUGCGCCAGCGUCCGCAGCGCCCUCCGAUUGGGGAGAGGGGCUGGUGGUGUUAGCCCAGGCGGCGGAAUCCGCGCGGUGGCAUCCCUAGUUGCCCCGUGUGCCUUUCUCGGGACCUGGCCGCUCUCUGCCUCGCCCUCUGCGCCCCACUUCUCCAGUCCUCCUUCCCAAUCCUGCCUGCCUCUGCCCCGACCCCGGAGAGUCGGAUUGAGCCCAGGCCCGCGCAGCAGCUGUUGCUCGUGUCGUUGCCUCUCCUCCUGUCUUGGUGCUCUGCUGGGAACCCCCCAAGGAGCCGCUGCGCGCUGCGGGCUGGGAGGGAGGCGCCGCUCAGCCGGUCGUCCUCCUCCUGCCGCUGCCGCGGGUCCGUGCGCACCCCAUACCCCCGCCAGCCGGGCCUCGGGGCACAUCUCCAGACUUUGAUUUGGCUGAAGUAACUUAUACCACAGAGCUGUGGGCAUGCCUGGAAUUGAGAGACACAGUUAAAAGACUCCCACUUGCUUCCUGCCUUUUUGAAAACUACUGAAAACCAUCCCUUCAGACUCCAGAGUUUUACACAUCUCAACCAAGACUUUGCUUGAAUGUUUACAUUUUCUGCUUGUUGUCCUACAUACCACGAUCUAGUGUUCACCUUUUGUUAAAACAGGUGUGUCAGGAGUUG